UUUGUGCCUAUUCUACCACAAUUAAGAGAGCACGACUCUUUCCAUUCCCAGAUUGAAUUUCACAAACAACACAGGUCUUCUCCUUGCCUUCUAUUUCUGAAACGAAGAGUCUUUCUCCUUGCCUUUUGUUUCUGAAACGAAGCCCUAUUUGUGUGUUUUGUACCCACAGUGUAUAAAUCUCACAGCUCACUCUUUCAACAACAGGCACACUCAACCCAUAUGUUUGUUCUUCAUCUAUGUGUGUUUUGUACUCCUUUUUCUCUAUGUUCUGUUGCUAUUUGUAAUUCCAUUCACUUUUGUAUUUUUAUGUUGUCACUGAUGUGCUGCGAAUCCGGACAACAAGACUAGAACUGAAGGGUUCCGUUCUGUAUGGGUCUAUCAAUCAUUAAAGAAGUUACUGAAGCAUGAGGAUGUUUUAGGAUUCUACAAGUAAGUUUAGGAUUCUACAAGUGGUGAGGAAUAUAUAAUCACUUCGAGAUUUCAUUUUGGAUUUAUUGAUUCUAUGUAUAUUUGGUUUUAUGGCUGUAAAAUAUCUGGCUUUGGAUUUAUUGAUUCUAUGUAUGUGUCAUAUCGAUAUGGUAAUCCAAAUAUUUAUACUAGUAACAAUCAAAGUGGUUAUUCUUUUUCUAUUGAUGCAAGAGAUGAAGAGACGACUGUUUUCACCCUCCAUUACCAAGCGAACCAGCCAAAAAACUGGGUUUUGAAAGGGGCAACAUUAAACCAUUAUAGCUUAGGCACAAGCAAAUUGGAUCCAUGUUGGUCUUCAGCCCACCUUCUGAUAGCAGCCACAGAACUUUGAGUUGAGAACAUGGAAGCAAGAUCAAAAAGUUGAAGAAGAAAUAUGUUACAAGAAAUGUGAUCAAUAUAAGAAGAAAUGCUCCUAAUUUUAAGCAAAACAGAGCUAGCAGCAGCAAGGCAGAAUCAACAGCAGCAAGGCAAAGACACACUCCCACACAGCACCUGGGCAGCUAUUCAUAGCAGCUAAACUAAAGCAAACACAACACAAACCAGAAUUUAUAGACAUUAACAGCAGGCGGACACGGCACCUGGAUAGAUUUACACAGCAGAUCACAUGACACUCCAGUAGAAUGUAUAGACAGACCACCAGAGUUUAGCCUAACCAGUUCCAUAUUUGAGCAUGUCAUUAGAACUAAUGGAGAAAUACCUUCUGUUGAUGAAGCAACUUUAGACCAUCAAAGAUUAUUGGACAGCUGUGGGAUUUUUAUUUCAUAUAUAUAGUUUUUGAUGCUGGAGAUGUCUGUUCUUCUUCAGAUUGCAGUUAUAUGAGUUGGUGGAGUCUAUGGUUCAUGGAGAUGGAAAUUGUCAGGCUAGUUUCUUACUACACUGCACCUCAUGCUCUUGCGUGCCUCAAGUUCCAUGUAUUUGUGAUGUCUUUUGCAUGCCAUGUGAUUAGAGUUCCCUUUGUCUCUUGAUGAACAGAUACCGCAAAAGUCAAUAUCUUGAGUCGCACUAAUCAUUAUUUUUUGGUGGGAUGAUGUGGUUUUGCCUUCAGUUUGCUUUGUUUCCCCCUCUAGCUUUUUUUCUCUUUAUACGAGAUGGCGUACUUUAGUACUAUAAUUUUCAAUUAUUUUUUUGCUUUCCUUUGUCAUUUUCUUAUCUUCUAUCUACGUAACUCAUUUUUUGAUGUUUUUAAUCACACUUAAAAGAUGUGAUGAAAUCAUUUUUUAAUGACACUUAAAAGAUGUGAUUAAAAGACCCUUUUUAAUCACACUCCCAAAGAUCACACUUUAAUUUAGAAUAGAAUUUGUUAUCACCAUCCCAAAAAUAAGAAAUGGCUUUAAUUUUGUGAAUAGCUUGUAAGCUAUAUAGCCUUGACUGGCUUUAAUUAAUUUUGUGAAUUAAUUUGAGCAGGGUUUUUAAUAACAAUGAACUCAGUGGCAAGAUUCCUUCAACG
This is a non-coding RNA of Camellia sinensis, 1915 nucleotides long. The record is from RefSeq and is a predicted model, not a curated record. NCBI's taxonomy places the organism in Eukaryota, Viridiplantae, Streptophyta, Magnoliopsida, Ericales, Theaceae.